Molecule: ribosomal RNA, 489 nt
Filed under: uncultured bacterium
Lineage: Bacteria
Description: bacterial SSU rRNA
Rfam family: Bacterial small subunit ribosomal RNA
Source: RNAcentral
GAUGAACGCUAGCGAUAGGCUUAACACAUGCAAGUCGAGGGGCAGCACGGUGUAGCAAUACACUGGUGGCGACCGGCGUACGGGUGCGUAACACGUAUGCAACCUACCCGCUAUUGGGGGAUAACCCGGCGAAAGUCGGACUAAUAUCCCAUAUUAUUCUUACCGGGCAUCCGGUGAGUCUGAAAGAUUUAUCGAUUGCGGAUGGGCAUGCGGAUGAUUAGCUAGUAGGUGGGGUAACGGCUCACCUAGGCGACGAUCAUUAGGGGUUCUGAGAGGAAGGUCCCCCACACUGGAACUGAGACACGGUCCAGACUCCUACGGGAGGCAGCAGUGAGGAAUAUUGGUCAAUGGGCGCUAGCCUGAACCAGCCAAGUCGCGUGAAGGAUGACAGAUCUAUGGUUUGUAAAACUUCUUUUGCAGGGGAGUAAAGUGCGACACGUGUGUUGUAUUGCAAGUACCCUGCGAAUAAGCAUCGGCUAACUCCGUGCC